UGUAGGCAUAUUUGAAACACUACAGCAUCUUCAGACCAUAAUUAUAACGGUUUGUUGUUUCUGUGGCUUCAAAGAUAAUAGAAGUUGUUCAUAAAAUUUACACAAUGCUGAUGUAUCACAUACAAAAUAUAGACUCAGUGUCAUGGGCAAAAUAUUCCAUUAUCUAUUUUGCAUGGGAAGAAACAGCUGAGAAACCUACAGACCAUCAAAUUAUGAUUCAAGUGUUAUCAUUACCAGCAAUUAGAGAUGGAAACCCAGAGGUGCUAACCAAAAUACUUAGCUGUAAUCAGACCCUUUAAUUCAGAGUGCUACUUGUUUCCUGAUGAUACUUAGCUUGGAGCUGGGCAAGGCAAAGCCGGCAGACUGGAAGAUUGCCUAAUGCGCUGUGACUGACAUGUAAUCGAAUAUUUAACCACUGGUCCACAUGUCUGCGGUGAAGCCACCCCUUGAUGCUACUGAGACUACAGAUGCAUAGAAUUUACAGAGUUUUCCUCAUCACGGGGAGUAAGAAGAGCCCUUUCAAUAUGUAUAAGAAGUACAAUCACACACUCACGACUAUAUUUUACGCCUGCCUGCAACCUAAACAGCUGAACAGAUUGUGAUGAAAUUCAGACACUGAUAAUUUGAUGAAAAAAUACUUUCUGGCCAAAACUCUGGCUUCCAGAAGUUUUUCGAAUCUAAACAUUUUAUUUUGAAAUGGUGAGGGGAGAGACCAGUCUUAUGGAAAAUCUAUGAAGAAAACAUGUAGUGCAUGUAUUUUUUUAAAAAAAAUCCUAUGCAAAACAAAAACAUUUGUCCAGCUUUGGGAUUUUUCCAAUGACUUGGGUGCAUUUUCUCUCCCUGACUUCAGAGACUUUAGCUAUAUUUAUCUAAUAAGCACUCUUUGCCUACCAGUGUUUCAAUGGUGGUUUAACAGUAGUUUCAGUGUCAAAUUGCCCUUUCCUCAGCAGGGAUUGUUAAGCCUUUCUGUAUUAUACUUCCAAGACACUCAGGAGCUGGAGUUGGAAGAUAUAAUAUUUUCUUUGAAGUUUGCAUUUCAC
Molecule: long non-coding RNA, 1040 nt
Organism: Mauremys reevesii (Reeves's turtle)
Lineage: Eukaryota; Metazoa; Chordata; Testudines; Geoemydidae
Exons: 3
Source: RefSeq, a predicted model, not a curated record